RNAcentral lists this long non-coding RNA (927 nucleotides) under Olea europaea subsp. europaea. The record is from RNAcentral. Lineage: Eukaryota; Viridiplantae; Streptophyta; Magnoliopsida; Lamiales; Oleaceae.
AUGAGGAAAAAAAUCAGGGGCACCAAAAAAUUAAUUUCCCAUCUUCCACUCCCUUAUGUCCGAUUUUUCAAUUUGUAUAUCACAUCCUAAAAUCCGGCCUCCAUCUCCGGUAGUGGUGCAGCUCCGGCAACCGUGUAGCUCCGACAGUAAAGUCCAAUCUCCAUCCCGUCGCCUUCAAUCUUCCUUGUUGAUUUUGUAUUUGAAUAUUUGAUCUCAAUGGCUUCUUGGGGAUUUCUUAGUCUGUUCAUACAGUUCAUUGAAGGUUAAGAUUUGUUUUUUGUAGUUGGUUUAUUCUUCAAGCAUGAUUUUGGUUUAUGUUGAUAUUUAUAUUGGAUAUUUCUUAGUCCGAAAAGUACAAAAAAUGCACAACAAUAUUGAAAUGGCGUUUUCUUCAAUUUAAUGAAUUAUGGGUUUGAAUUUUCUUUUUCUCCUAGCAUCUUUAUUUUUAUUUUUUCCUUUUCAUCUUGCUGUUAUGAAUUUUUGUUUUUAGAAAAGCUAUUCUCAUUUGCAUAGACAGCAUAGUAGGAGUUUGAAUGUUUGAUGUUGUGAUCUUCGCUCUUGAAACAUUGAAAUGAGCUGGCAAGAUCUAGAAAUGUAUACUUGUGGAGUGAUUGACUAAGUCAGCUUUUGAUUCUUUUGGUUGAAGAUGUUAGUUUGAAAUUCUAUUUUGUUAAUUUCAGUUAAAACGGAUGGGUAUAUAUCUCAAUACUCCUAAAACAGAGAAAUUUUCCGAAGAGGGUGCGCCCGAGGUUCUUUUAGCUCCACAACGACAACAUUUAGACAUCAUAUUGGCCCCAUUUCAAUUGAAGCGAGUUUUAUGUCGCCAGUUCCAUAGGGCUAUUUUGCCACUGCCUUGUAGAAACUAAUUAUUAUUCCAUCAAGGACUCAAGAAUUUGUUUGAUGUAAUAGAUUUAUGUUUAAUAGUAG